This is a long non-coding RNA of Equus asinus (donkey), 2381 nucleotides long. NCBI's taxonomy places the organism in Eukaryota, Metazoa, Chordata, Mammalia, Perissodactyla, Equidae. The record is from Ensembl.
CCAGCUUUGGGGGGCUCGGCAUGGUCGGCGUAAGUGAGGGCCCCUUCCCACGAGGUUGGGCUCAGGAGUGGGCCAGGUGGCAUUUGGCCUUGGGGACUAGACCAGCCCUGGGUGGGCUGGAGUUAGCGUAACUAGGCCUUUUUUACAAGUUGAGUUUUUCAGUUUCCCAGGUUUGUAGGUAACACAGAGCAGACAAAGAGGGAUUUGUGUAAAUUGUUCUAAGACCUAUCAAACAAGAGGGUGGCGCUGACCCCCAGAGAGUGAGUCAUGGGUGCACGUCCACUGUGCGGGUGGACAGAGGAGGGGCUUGGUGGCCGCUGUCCAGCCCCGGUUCACAGCCCGCUCUCUGUGAGAUAGAGCAGGGUCUGUGAGGCAGCGCGCGCCGGCCCUAAACGCUGAAACGGCUGGGUGAGCGGGAAGGCUCUUGGCCAAGCAGCCCCUUCCCUCCCCUCCCUCCUCUCGCCUUCCCCGCCCUGUGACCCCAGAGGGCUGAGUGCGGGAAAGCCUGCCCUCCCUGGUGGCCACCUCUACCAGGCCCUUCAGCUACCAGCCCAAUGCCAGUGGGCCCUCUGGCAGAGCUGAUGCCCCCAAGGCUUCCCCUAGACCGCCACGGCCCACCUUGGUGAGAACACGGGACAGCCAGCCCCUCUCCAGACAGCCUGUCUCCUCCAGGGUCCUCAGCUGCCUGGGGCCGGGGCCACAUGUCCCGGUUGACGCCCGCAGUCCCGACGUCAUCAAGAGCACCCCCUUCACUCUCGGCAGUGUCGUGGUGGUGGUCACCUGUGGCAGUCCUGGCAUCUUGCAGCCGGUGGGCAACAUCAGGCAGAGGAAAGGGUGUCUGGAUGGACCCUUAAACACAGUAGGGUCCCAAGGUGGGUCCUUUCCUCGUCAGCCCGAGGUGGGCGGGGGGAGAGGCAGGACCCCAUCUUGCACCCUGGGGGUGCCCUGCCUCCAACAGCCGGGGACCACACCUCCUCCCCCUUCUACACAUGAGGGAGUGCUGCAGGGGCUAUCGUUCUGGCCCCUAGCAUCUCCGCCGAUCUCCAGGGGCUUGGUCAGGAGCUCAGACUCCUCGUGGGGCCUGUUGCCCAAAUCUCAGCCCUCCAAAAAGUGUCCCUCUGCUUGGGGUAAUUAUCAGUGCUGAUAAGGGCUCAGGCAGAGCUAUAAAAUACUAUUUUUUACUUCCAGUCCAGAUCUUUCCUUACUAAAGUGCAGAGGAGAGCUGGGGAGAAUUCCGGGAGCUCCUUUGCAUUUGUGAGGUGAAUGAGGGGUCUGUCACCCAAAUCUACUUCUCAGCCUAAGACCAUGGUUCUCUCUUCCGUUUGCAAAUCUUGAUAGUUCUGUUUUCUCCAAAGUAGAAUGUGUCCACUAGGGUCCAGGUCAGAUGAGGACAAUGUGAGGCUCCAGUGUCGGCGGGUGACCUGGUCAGCAUUACUGUCUAUCUGGGCAGUGCUGGUUGUCACCAGGGAGCCAGGGCCAGUGGGGAAAGGGAAGGGAGGCAAGACCCAGAAGCAUCCUAGGGGCGUUUUCCGCUGGCCUUGGGUGACCAAGUCUCGAGGUCAGUGUGUUUUGAGGAGGCCCAGUGGCACCAGGCAGUGCUUGCAUUUCAUUUCUCCUGCUCCUGCUGUUUCUUGAGUCUGUCUUGUGAACUCUCGCAAUGAAAAGGAGGCAAGAGUCCGGGAUGGCUGUACCACUCCUGUAAUUAGUGGUGAUUGCUUUUUAUAACUCAGUCCCCGUAGACAAGGAAGAUAACCUUCAACAGCAAAUUAAAUGACUUAAUUGAUAAACACAAAAGCCGGCAUUAUUUCCAAGGAUUUCUAUAAGAAUUACCUGUAGAGUCCCAUCUGUGAUGAAGGAAGUGUGUAAAUCCGUGUAGACAAUCGUGUAACAUUUUUAGAGCUGCAUUCUCUCUGAUGGCACACCUCUUCGUUCAGUUCUGUUACCCAAAACAAAGACCAAAGAAGGCCGAUCUCUCAUUUGACUCUGUAUUUUUAACCUGCCUGUUUUAAAAUUGCCGUCCGUAGUAACCGCUCGCUGUGAGGACCCAUCUUGACAGUCCAAGUGAUUGUGACCAGUGAUUCACGUCCUGUGUUUUUUGCUCUUCUAAGAAAAAACAGCAAAAAGACAGUAUAAGUUAUUGCUCAGCAAUAAUCAUGUUGUUAAUGUAAGUUAACAACAUGUCUAAUUUUCUGAUAGCAUUAUUAUGUUUUAUAUUUUUGUUUACUGUAUACUGUGUGUGGUUUUAUUUGGUAUUUAUUUGUGUUUUGAGGUCUUGCAAUGUUUUUGUGUUUCUGAUGCUGAUAACUAAAGUUUGUAAGAGUGUAGAAUGCCAAACUUUGAAAUGCUAAACUGUCUAUUAGAGGAAAAUAAAUCUGACUAAG